GAUGAACGCUGGCGGCGUGCCUAAUACAUGCAAGUCGAGCGAACAGACGAGGAGCUUGCUCCUCUGAAGUUAGCGGCGGACGGGUGAGUAACACGUGGCUAACCUACCUAUCAGACUGGGAUAACUUCGGGAAACCGGAGCUAAUACCGGAUAAUAUAUUGAACCGCAUGGUUCAAUAGUGAAAGACGGUUUUGCUGUCACUUAUAGAUGGAUCCGCGCCGCAUUAGCUAGUUGGUAAGGUAACGGCUUACCAAGGCAACGAUGCGUAGCCGACCUGAGAGGGUGAUCGGCCACACGAGAGCGUAGACACGGUCCAGACGCCUACGGGAGGCAGCAGUAGGGAAUCUUCCGCAAUGGGCGAAAGCCUGACGGAGCAACGCCGCGUGAGUGAUGAAGGUCUUCGGAUCGUAAAACUCUGUUAUUAGGGAAGAACAAAUGUGUAAGUAACUAUGCACGUCUUGACGGUACCUAAUCAGAAAGCCACGGCUAACUACGUG
RNAcentral lists this ribosomal RNA (497 nucleotides) under uncultured bacterium. RNAcentral describes it as "partial 16S ribosomal RNA". It matches the Rfam family "Bacterial small subunit ribosomal RNA", at positions 28 to 507 of the family's 1533-position model. The record is from RNAcentral.